This 911-nucleotide ribosomal RNA is filed under the name Mycosphaerella aronici. Its description in RNAcentral is "LSU rRNA". It matches the Rfam family "Eukaryotic large subunit ribosomal RNA", at positions 38 to 964 of the family's 3401-position model. Lineage: Eukaryota; Fungi; Ascomycota; Dothideomycetes; Mycosphaerellales; Mycosphaerellaceae. The record is from RNAcentral.
GCAUAUCAAUAAGCGGAGGAAAAGAAACCAACAGGGAUUGCCUCAGUAACGGCGAGUGAAGCGGCAUCAGCUCAAAUUUGAAAUCUGGCUCUUUUAGAGUCCGAGUUGUAAUUUGCAGAGGGCGCUUUGGCAUAGGCAGCGAUUCAAGUUCCUUGGAACAGGACGUCACAGAGGGUGAGAAUCCCGUACGUGGUCGCUAGCUCUUGCCGUGUAAAGCCCCUUCGACGAGUCGAGUUGUUUGGGAAUGCAGCUCUAAAUGGGAGGUAAAUUUCUUCUAAAGCUAAAUAUUGGCCAGAGACCGAUAGCGCACAAGUAGAGUGAUCGAAAGAUGAAAAAAACUUUGGAAAGAGAGUUAAACAGCAUGUGAAAUUGUUGAAAGGGAAGCGCUUGCAGCCAGACUUGCCUGUAGUUGCUCAUCCGGGCUCUUGCCCGGUGCACUCUUCUGUAGGCAGGCCAGCAUCAGUUUGGGCGGUUGGAUAAAGGUCUCUGUCAUGUACCUCUCUUCGGGGAGGCCUUAUAGGGGAGGCGACAUACAACCAGCCUAGACUGAGGUCCGCGCAUUCGUGCUAGGAUGCUGGCGUAAUGGCUGUAAGCGGCCCGUCUUGAAACACGGACCAAGGAGUCUAACAUCUAUGCGAGUGUUUGGGUGUCAAGCCCGAGCGCGUAAUGAAAGUGAACGGAGGUGGGAACCCCUCGGGGUGCACCAUCGACCGAUCCUGAUGUCUUCGGAAGGAUUUGAGUAAGAGCAUGGCUGUUGGGGACCCGAAAGAUGGUGAACUAUGCUUGAAUAGGGUGAAGCCAGAGGAAACUCUGGUGGAGGCUCGCAGCGGUUCUGACGUGCAAAUCGAUCGUCAAAUUUGGGCAUAGGGGCGAAAGACUAAUCGAACUAUCUAGUAGCUGGUUCCUGCCGA